GGAAAGAUGAAUCAAAGAAGGUAAUAAUCCUGUAGUCGAAAAUGUUGUCUCUCUUGAGUGGAUCCUGAGUACGACGGAGCACGUGAAAUUCCGUCGGAAUCUGGGAGGACCAUCUCCUAAGGCUAAAUACUCUCUAGUGACCGAUAGUGAACCAGUACCGUGAGGGAAAGGUGAAAAGCACCCCGGAAGGGGAGUGAAAUAGAACCUGAAACCGUGUGCUUACAAGUAGUCAGAGCCCGUUAAUGGGUGAUGGCGUGCCUUUUGUAGAAUGAACCGGCGAGUUACGAUUUGAUGCAAGGUUAAGCAGUAAAUGUGGAGCCGUAGCGAAAGCGAGUCUGAAUAGGGCGUUUAGUAUUUGGUCGUAGACCCGAAACCAGGUGAUCUACCCUUGGUCAGGUUGAAGUUCAGGUAACACUGAAUGGAGGACCGAACCGACUUACGUUGAAAAGUGAGCGGAUGAACUGAGGGUAGCGGAGAAAUUCCAAUCGAACCUGGAGAUAGCUGGUUCUCUCCGAAAUAGCUUUAGGGCUAGCCUCAAGUGAUGAUUAUUGGAGGUAGAGCACUGUUUGGACGAGGGGCCCCUCUCGGGUUACCGAAUUCAGACAAACUCCGAAUGCCAAUUAAUUUAA
RNAcentral lists this ribosomal RNA (629 nucleotides) under Staphylococcus aureus. RNAcentral's name for it is "partial 23S ribosomal RNA". It matches the Rfam family "Bacterial large subunit ribosomal RNA", at positions 344 to 975 of the family's 2925-position model. Lineage: Bacteria; Bacillati; Bacillota; Bacilli; Caryophanales; Staphylococcaceae. The record is from RNAcentral.